UACGGAAGGCAGCAGUGGGGAAUAUUGCACAAUGGGCGAAAGCCUGAUGCAGCUAUGCCGCGUGUAUGAAGAAGGCCUUAGGGUUGUAAAGUACUUUCAUCGGGGAGGAAAAACAAAACUAAUAAUUUUAUUUCUUGACGUUACCCGAAAAAGAAGCACCGGCUAACUCCGUGCCAGCAGCCGCGGUAAUACGGAGGGUGCUAGCGUUAAUCAGAAUUACUGGGCGUAAAGAGCACGUAGGUGGUUUUUUUAAGUCAGAUGUGAAAUCCCUGGGCUUAACCUGGAACUGCAUUUUGAAACUGAAAUACUAGAGUAUCGUAGAGGGAGGUAGAAUUCUAGGUGUAGCGGUGAAAUGCGUAGAUAUCUGGAGGAAUACCUGUGGCGAAAGCGGCCUCCUAAACGAAUACUGACACUGAGGUGCGAAAGCGUGGGGAGCAAACGAGGGAUUAGAUACCCG
This 457-nucleotide ribosomal RNA is filed under the name uncultured bacterium. RNAcentral's name for it is "bacterial SSU rRNA". It matches the Rfam family "Bacterial small subunit ribosomal RNA", at positions 340 to 789 of the family's 1533-position model. The record is from RNAcentral.